Long non-coding RNA from Cataglyphis hispanica, 3553 nucleotides. RefSeq lists it as uncharacterized. The transcript has 10 exons. The record is from RefSeq and is a predicted model, not a curated record. NCBI's taxonomy places the organism in Eukaryota, Metazoa, Arthropoda, Insecta, Hymenoptera, Formicidae.
GUUUAUCUAGUGUAUAUUCGUAAUAUCGCGAUAUGUUUUACUUGCACAUUUUUUGUGUGCUUUCGUGCAAUUAUUUAUAUUGACAAAUUGGAAAAGGAGAGGCAUCGAAGAGAUAACUCGACUGUAGAAAAUAUGUUUUUUGUAUUUUCAUGCAACUUUCUGUAUUUAAAAAUUGGAAAGGGAGAGGAAUCAAAGAGAGAAUUUGACUGUAUAGAAAAUAUAUUUGUGUGCUUCUAUACAACAUUCUGUAUUUAAAAUUUGGAGAGAGAGAGAGGAACCAAAAAACUUGACUGUAAAAAAAAUUAAAAUAAUAUUCGCCAGAGUAUGUUUUACUCGAUUUCCCGAUACCUCGACGAAGUGGUAAUCAUGGAGGCACGUGGGCGACCGGAAACUAUCCCCCCUACAUUCACGUGCCCUACCUCUCUUCAAAGGGAGUGUUAAAGAGAAAGAGAUUCAUGAAGAGUAAGGAAAGAAAGUAGAGAACAAAAAUUAAGUCUUUUUUAGUGGUGAUUUCACAUUAUAGAAUCAAAUAAAUUAUUUGAUAUAGAGAUCAAGAAAAAAUCAAAAUUUAAAAUAUUUUGUUUGUAUAAAUCUUAUGGUUUAACAUCAUAUGUAGUGAAUUAUAUAAUCGUAAGUGUCUGCAAAGAGAGGAGUGUAAAAAAGUAACCACAUGGAAAAUAGGAAUCUAGUAAGUGACACGUUAAAUGAUAAAUUUGGUGGAUGAAAAUCAUGAGUAUAUAGGUGUACGAAGAACGGAGAGAAAUAUGGAGAAACAGAAGAUAAGAGAGAGCGAAGAAAAGCAAGGGAAAAAGGUAAAAAAAAGAAAGAUAAUAAAACAAAAACAACGACGAUGGCGAUGUAGAAGGAAACGAAAAACGAACGGGUAAAUAAAGAUCGACCCGUCUCCCACGCUCGUGUGACCAUUGUUAUUAUAUAUCCCGUGGGGUAUUGUUCCCAUGGGAAAACUGGACAGGCUCGUUCUACCACCUAUACCUGUGAGUGCGACAAGAAGAGAAAGGAAAGAGACAAACUGAGCGCACCAAUACACUGACGUAUGUAGGUCCACACAAAUAUACUUACAAGUCAACGGACCACAAGUUUCAAGUAAGACGAACAUGGUUGUAUGAGACAACGAUGCACGCACGCACGCACGCAUAACGUACGCGCGGGCGCACACAGAUUUUAGAUAUGUGGGGGACGUUCACCUCGCAUCUCAGACCCUCGUCGAGCUCGUUCGCGGGUCCAGAGUGUAUGCAUGCAUGUUAGUACCAUUCCCUUAUGAGAGACGUUAUAAGGAGUAGUAUCCGAAGAUGUAUAUGUGCGAGUCACACAUACAUACACGAUUAUACGCCACGAAUGUCCACGACGGAGGUCUUUCGGUGGAUGCUUGAGGAACAGGGUGCGGCUCAACCUACCUCGCUUGAAUUACCUACCAAUAUUACUGUCUAGUCUCUUGGAGCGUACGCCUUAGACUUUCACCGAAAGGAACUCUUAACCGUUCAUUCAUAAAUUGAUGAUUGAAGGUUCUCCUGAUCUCCGUUUGGUCACGAGUGAUAUGCUCAUGCGCGUUUCACGCGUAACGGCACGAGGCCUCAGCUCUACUCUAUAAGAGUUUUUUCCAUUUUUUUAAAGAUAUUACAGAGUCACGACAGAGCUAAUGCACGCAAGGAUACGCACAGAUAUGUCUUUCUCCAUACUUCUGGUACCAUCAAGAUAUUUAAUUUGGACAAGAUAAAUUAAACAGCGCAUGACUUGAUUAUCAAUUGAACAUGAUACGGAUAGAUACAAUAAUAUAACAAUGAUCACAACUCACAGCAUGCGCGAAUCAUCGUGAUGAUCAUCCCAAAGACAGUUUCAAGAGCGACGCAGAAAGCGGAUUUAAUGAAUAUAUAAGAAAAAGAUUCGAAUAAAAUUUCCUACCACAGCAAAGUAUGAGAUAGGAGACACAGCUCGCUUACCAUUUCGACAUACGAAUGAUAUCAUCGCUCGCAGGAGCGGAUUCAGUUAUUCUAACAACGCGCGCGCAUUCACUUAUCGCGAGUGAUUUAGCUGCGAGCCAAAUUUUUAAAUAUGCAGAAUCCAGAUACGCUUCGGCACGCUCGCGCGUAACCAAAACCCAGCUGUCUUUCACGGCUAGCGCGCGUACUGUAACUCGUUCUCCACCCACCGGAGAAAGAUCGAAGUAAGGCAACGGUCCUGGAACCUGUUUCGAAGCGUUUGAGAGUCUCUGUCCUGCCUCGUCCUCAUCGUCCAUCCCUCAUAUCCUAUCCUUAUCCCACCUACUAUUCCACUUUUUGCAUCUCUUUGUUGCUCUUUCACGUUCCUUUUCUCUUUUCUUUAUAACAUUCUCUCAUCAUCUCACUUUCUCUCUUCCCCUCUCCUUUUUUUCUCUUUUAUUUUCUCCAUCUUUCUCUCUUUUUCUCUCUCUCCCGUUGGUGUUGGCUCCACGUAUUCCGGCGCGUAAUAUCACGCACAUCAUCGUCACGAAGAUGUGUACGCGUGUCUCUCCAUCGGUGCUCCAUACGAAGGAAGCCAGAGGAACAUGAACCAAGAUGGGUCGAUGGAUGAAUGAGAAAGAGAAAACGGAUGGGGAGGAAAACGCCGAGAAGAAGAUAACAGGAGGGAAAAGGAGAGCCAGAAAGAGAAGGAGAAAAGAAAAAGUGGGAGGAGAGCGGUCAACGCUGAGAAGGCAAGGCGGAUGGGGUAUGGCACACGCCACACGCCAUCAUAAUGGAAUAAUGAGGCAGAGACGAUAGCAAUCGCGCGCAGAGGCUCUUUUUCCGUACAAGACGACCGUGUAUUGAAGCGCUCGUGAGAGCUGUACGCGACCGCGCACGAGCAUAGAAACGUCGUGGAUGAAUUGAGCAAAUCAGAGCCACAUCCGAUGAGGUCAGAUCGACUCGGUCAUGCCUCCAAGACUGCGUGUUCUUGGGGCUAUCGUAAAUAAGUGGAGGAUAUUACAAGAUGAACAAGGGCAACGGUAGGAGAUUACAGCAGGAGAAGAAGCUGUGGCACGUGACCCCGAAGAACACCAGAGUCAACUCGCUUAAGUAGCCGAGCUCUGCUCUUUGACCCAGCCGACAAUUUCAAAUUAUGUCUCUCAGAAGGAGAGUGAGAGAGAAAGAGAGAAAAAGAAGGAGAGAGCGGAUAUACUAUAGUCAGACACAUACUCCCCUCUUCGCAAUGAAGGUAACGUUCAUUCGCAACUUCUCAUAUCUAAGGCGACCAGAAUGCUAAUCUGGUGUCGCUCGUGGCUUCGCCGUAAUUAGUCAGGAUGAGAUAGUUCGAGAGGCAGGCGCGCACUUUAUCUGUAAUCUGUCGUUGAAUAGAACUAGACUGCACUGAAAAAGCUAAAUAAAACUUAAAUGAACGAUUUCAUUAGCCAAGUGCAAUAAACAAGAAGUGAAUUUGCGAAUUAAUAGACAAUUCAAUGAAAUGGUUUACUUAAGCUUUACUUAACUUUUCUCAAUUUCUUUUUUGUUAUAUAAUGCAAAUUGAUUACUAUUUUAUAUAGUUCAAAUAAAAUUUGCGAGCGUGUUUGAUUGCAGUAAAA